GCGAAAUUAACUAAAUAACACACAUACAUCGACACAUUUGUCGGGGUGUCUGUUUCGGGUUUGCCGCCUGAACGGAUCGAUAGAUGGGAUGUAUGGAGGCCUAAC
This 105-nucleotide small RNA is filed under the name Aliiglaciecola lipolytica E3. RNAcentral describes it as "t44 RNA". It matches the Rfam family "t44 RNA". From Rfam's summary of the family: This family consists of a number of bacterial RNA genes of between 135 and 170 bases in length. The t44 gene is found between the map and rpsB genes in all species in the full alignment apart from Shigella flexneri. The record is from Rfam by way of RNAcentral. Lineage: Bacteria; Pseudomonadati; Pseudomonadota; Gammaproteobacteria; Alteromonadales; Alteromonadaceae.